RNAcentral lists this transfer RNA (68 nucleotides) under Symphurus orientalis (pygmy tongue-sole). RNAcentral describes it as "tRNA-Gly". The record is from RNAcentral. Lineage: Eukaryota; Metazoa; Chordata; Actinopteri; Pleuronectiformes; Cynoglossidae.
AUUUUUCUAGUACAAAAGUAUAGAUGACUUCCAAUUAUCAGAUCCUGGUAAAAUCCCAGGGAAAAAUA